AACGAACGCUGGCGGCAGGCCUAACACAUGCCAGUCGAGCGCGCCCUUCGGGGUGGGCGGCGGACGGGUGAGUAACGCGUGGGAACGUGCCCUUUUCUACGGAAUAGCCUCGGGAAACUGAGAGUAAUACCGUAUACGCCCUUUGGGGGAAAGAUUUAUCGGAAAAGGAUCGGCCCGCGUUGGAUUAGGUAGUUGGUGGGGUAAUGGCCUACCAAGCCGACGAUCCAUAGCUGGUUUGAGAGGAUGAUCAGCCACACUGGGACUGAGACACGGCCCAGACUCCUACGGGAGGCAGCAGUGGGGAAUCUUAGACAAUGGGGGCAACCCUGAUCUAGCCAUGCCGCGUGAGUGAUGAAGGCCUUAGGGUUGUAAAGCUCUUUCAGCUGGGAAGAUAAUGACGGUACCAGCAGAAGAAGCCCCGGCUAACUCCGUG
Molecule: ribosomal RNA, 433 nt
Filed under: uncultured bacterium
Lineage: Bacteria
Description: partial 16S ribosomal RNA
Rfam family: Bacterial small subunit ribosomal RNA
Source: RNAcentral